UGAGGAAUAUUGGUCAAUGGGCGCAAGCCUGAACCAGCCAUGCCGCGUGCAGGAUGAAGCAUCUAUGGUGUGUAAACUGCUUUUGUACGGGAAGAAACAACUCUUCGUGAAGAGUCUUGACGGUACCGUAAGAAUAAGGAUCGGCUAACUCCGU
This 154-nucleotide ribosomal RNA is filed under the name uncultured Flavobacterium sp. Its description in RNAcentral is "partial 16S ribosomal RNA". It matches the Rfam family "Bacterial small subunit ribosomal RNA", at positions 355 to 506 of the family's 1533-position model. Lineage: Bacteria; Pseudomonadati; Bacteroidota; Flavobacteriia; Flavobacteriales; Flavobacteriaceae. The record is from RNAcentral.